Molecule: non-coding RNA, 69 nt
Organism: Podarcis lilfordi (Lilford's wall lizard)
Lineage: Eukaryota; Metazoa; Chordata; Lepidosauria; Squamata; Lacertidae
Source: the annotation of a GenBank genome assembly
GCCAUAGCUCAGUCAUAGAGCAUCAUCCUUGCAAACAGAAGGUCCCGGUUUCAAUCCCCAGUAUCUCCA